UGCGUAGGCGGUUAUAUUAGUCGGGUGUUAAAUCCUCAGGCUCAACCUGAGGCUCGCAUUCGAAACGGUAUAACUAGAAGAAGUCAGAGGUAAGCAGAACUCUCGGUGUAGGGUGAAAUCCGUUGAUAUCGAGGGAAUACCAAAUGCGAAGGCAGCUUACUGGGACUUUCUUGACGCUGAGGCACGAAAGCGUGGGUAGCGAAUC
RNAcentral lists this ribosomal RNA (205 nucleotides) under uncultured bacterium. RNAcentral describes it as "partial 16S ribosomal RNA". It matches the Rfam family "Bacterial small subunit ribosomal RNA", at positions 568 to 774 of the family's 1533-position model. The record is from RNAcentral.